Molecule: long non-coding RNA, 1271 nt
Organism: Clupea harengus (Atlantic herring)
Lineage: Eukaryota; Metazoa; Chordata; Actinopteri; Clupeiformes; Clupeidae
Exons: 3
Source: RefSeq, a predicted model, not a curated record
UGAAUUACACGUGUGUUAGGUGUAAUCUGUAGCGUUAAAUAACAUAAACUGAGAGUUUGUUAAUGACUGUAACAAAGCUCUUUUUGAAACCUUUGGGAUAGAGCAUGCUGUAACUUCAGCCUACCACCCGCAGCGCAAUGGGCAAGAUGAGCGCUCAAACCAGAACAUUAAGCGGCAUCUUGCAAAGUACUGUAAUGAGGAGCGGAAUGACUGGGACGUCUAUCUGCAACACGCUGUUUAUUCGAUAAACACCUCGAAGCAGCGUUCCACAAAGGUGAGCCCAUAUUUUGCAAUUUAUCGGGUUCAUCACGGCAGCAGCGCCGAUCCAAAGGUAGAUGACUUUGAGAUCGCGAACAGUGAAGAGACGCUGCAGAGGAACGUUGGGCUGGACCGUUUAAGGUGGAGUCCAUGACAGCCAAAAGAGUGUCCAGAUUGGUUGACAGGUUGAAUGUUCGCCAUUUGAAGCCAUAUGUUCGUCGAACAGACACGCCCAAAGAUGUCGGCAUCGCUUCUGAUGUCCAGGAAUUGAGUGUAUUGUGCGACAUCUCGAUGGAAGCUGUAGGUGCUGAAUGUAGGUAUUUCUUCAUUUAUACAUCUCCACAUAUGUACUGUCAAGUUCAAUGUAGAGUGUUGAAUGUGUUUUAUGUUCCUUUUUCCUAAAAGGUGCAGAUGUUGAUCACACAUUGGAAGUUGUCGUGCCACGUUUCGCGACUUAGACAGUCUGGCAGGCCCAGAGUUCAACUGGCUGACCGAUGAUAUUGUGAAUACGUGCGUUGCAGUGAUUGCUGCAGAUCACAAACAACGUUCCACUGACAAAGCCGUGUUCCACGCCCUUACCACAGACGCAUACACGUUGUGGUGUCGUGACUGGACAGCACAUAGUUGUGUUACGGAAAGAACUUUAAGCUGUAUCAAUGGCAUUAAGCCAGAUGGCGUGGUGCUACUGCCCCGUCUCGUUGGUCUGCGUUAAAAUAAAGCUUUACAGGUUUGGUCAGCGGACACCUGGGGUUAAAUGCGUUGUACUGUAGCUUUACAGGUUCGGUUAGAUAAGGUAAAGUUGUGCCCUGCUGCUGGCGUUCCCUAGUCAAUGCCAGUCACUUGGAGUUAGACAUGCCUUGCUUCUGUCACCGGUCACAUGGGUUAGACUUUGUCUUACAGGUGUGGUUAGCGCACACCUGGGGUUAGAAAGAUGUGCCUUGUUUUUACUGUCUUACAGGUGUGGUCAGCGAGCAGUGCGUGCGUUGCGCUUGUAGGAAGUCCUUUACGGUUCC